Paramuricea clavata is the source of this 235-nucleotide non-coding RNA. NCBI's taxonomy places the organism in Eukaryota, Metazoa, Cnidaria, Anthozoa, Malacalcyonacea, Plexauridae. The record is from the annotation of a GenBank genome assembly.
ACGAAACGCAAAGAGUGCUCAAUAUCAUAAAGAUAGAGCAAAUGUAGAAUUUCGCUUACCUCAAAAUUCCGCAACAGUCUGUUUCAUCAGUAAAGAAUCAUCAGGCGGUAUGACAAGUUUCGAAAAUAGGACUGCUUAUAUGUGUUUUGGCCGGAAUGUGGGGGUGUGUGGGUGAAACAAAGCAUGCAUUCAUCUAUUGUUUGCGUUGUUUACGCGGAAAUGCCUAAUCGAGUUG